UUCAAACAACACCCAUCAUUUUCAAAACCCUACCCACUUGCGCACCCCUGCCCCUAACAGGUGCCUGCUUGAUCCCAAACAGCCUCACUUGCGUAUCCUUCCAUGAACCGAUACCUGUCAGGCCUGCGACGUAGAUAUCUCCCCAGAGAAGGGAGGUGAGCCAGAUACUUGAUGCAGGCGACCACUGUCAAAAGAAUGUCAAUUCCGGUUUGGGUAGAGUGAUAAAUUAAUUUAAAGAAAAACGGGGGACGUACCUGGAACCGUCUAGGCAUAAUGGGCGGUGCGGGCGGCAAGACGUCUCCGAGCUCGACGUCUUUAAGGAUAUUGAACACUUUUUCGCUAGGCGCGCCCACGAGUGGUUGGGUUUCUUGGAUUUUCGGCAACAGUUCAGAGAUUGCGACGAGGACGGGGUCGAGCGGGAGGCUAUAGGUUUGAGAGGGGGGAGGGGUGGUAUUGGUUAGCUGGGUGGUGGAAAAAUGGGAAUUGGGAUGGAAGGAGAUGACGGGAAGAGACGUACCCCUUUUGCCAACUCGAAACCCAUUCUUGCGUGGGUACAUACCCAUUCGGUCCUACACCCGCUGCCGCAAUCUUGAUCAAUUCUUCUUCUUCUUCUUCUUCAACGUCUUCUUCUUUUACACCUCCUUCCUGAACAUUGGUGUUGAUAGUGGCGAGCGAGGUGGUUGAUUCUGUUGCUCGCAUCUUGCCUCGUGCUUUUUCGGACAUGCUGCGUGAUGGGGGCGGUGGGUUGGAAGAGUAGUCUGGCGUGGUGGUGGUGGUGGUGGUGGCAGGGGUGGGGGCGGGAGUAGCGGAUAGAGAUGGUACGUCGCCCUCGCCUGGGGUGCUUGCGUGUCCCUGUCCUUGGCCCUGGUCACCGGGGAGAUGCACAUCAUCUUCUUCUGGCUCGAGACCCAACAAUGCGGCUUUUUCAGCAAUCAUCUCUGCAUCCGAGGUGAUCCCAUUGUCCCGUCCACCAUCGCCUCCUCCUCCCCCUCCCCCUCCACCUAGUAUUCGAGCGGUAAGAGUAUUAGUGUAGGAGGAAUUGUUCGUGGUGGCAGAACCGGUACGUCCAUUCUUCUCCGCUAAAAUACAAGAUAUCAGCCCUCCAGCCUACUCCCUCGUCCGUUAGGCAAGAAACGGCCCAAGCUUACCGGCAGCGCGUAAAAACUUUCUUCGCUUGAUAUCCCUCAGACCGGACAUCAACGUAAACGUCGCGAGGGUUUGGAAAUCAUUGUGGGACCGGAGGAUGGCGUAUACGAGGUUUGGGUUCGCGUUCAGUUGGUAGUACAGGACCGAGUUGAAUGUUUCCAAUCUAUAAUCAAAAAAGGGUGGUUAUUUAAGAACACUUGUUGUAGACUUUUUUGGGGACUUGCAAAUAAUAAACCAAUCUCGGAUGACCUUCAUCACCCAACAAGAAAUUCGGUGCUGAAAACGCUUUAAACAGACCCAACAACCUGGCCGACGCUUGGACGCCAAUGUUGGUGAUGUAAGGGGAGAUGUUGGCGAUGGAGAUGGUUAGUGCUGGGAAGAGGGGGUUCAGGCCUGGGGUGGUUGCUAUACUGUAUAUCGACUGCAGGGGGGGGGGAGGUCAGCGCGUGCGCGGCAGUUGGAAGAAGGGGAGGGGGACUUGCAACAAUCAUGAAAUCAACUGCACUCCCCAUCACCCCCCACCUCGCGGGGACAGUUAUGCGGAUGGUCUGGUUGAGCGAUUUACCAAACGGUUCGUUGGCGGAGAGGGUUUGGAGGAGGUAGGAGAGGAGGCGGAGGAGGCCGUUUUGGGCUGCGUGCGUGUGUGUGUGUGUGAAUAAGUGGGAGAGGCGGGGACGGGGGGGAGAGGGGAAAACGUACCGGGAUCAUCUUUCAGCUCCAAGCAUGUUACCAGUAUAUACACCACCAAGUCUACCGUCUUGCCUGAUUGUUCGAGGAGAUGGGCUUUGAAUCGUUUAUUCAAGUCGACAAGUCGCCAGAGGAGAAUGUCUUUUUGUCGACUGUUUUAGUGGGGACGAAGGGGAGGCGCAGGGAGAGGGACGUACAUGUUUCGAGCAAACACCCUAUAUCCUUUUUCCCGACACCCACACCGCCGGGUAGAUAGCUA
This 2092-nucleotide small RNA is filed under the name Cryptococcus neoformans H99. RNAcentral describes it as "Cryptococcus neoformans var. grubii H99 hypothetical RNA". The record is from RNAcentral. Lineage: Eukaryota; Fungi; Basidiomycota; Tremellomycetes; Tremellales; Cryptococcaceae.